Schistocerca serialis cubense is the source of this 150-nucleotide long non-coding RNA. RefSeq lists it as uncharacterized. Lineage: Eukaryota; Metazoa; Arthropoda; Insecta; Orthoptera; Acrididae. The transcript is spliced from 3 exons. The record is from RefSeq and is a predicted model, not a curated record.
CUUAGUCGUUGCAUAAAGAAAAUAUUUCACCAAGAUUACAUAUGAAGAGUACAUUCUAUGACAGGUGCGUUGACCUAUACACAUCGUGUCGUUAUUACAGUUUAUAUUCAUCUGCUGCACAGUAAUGUUUCACAGAUCGGACGUGACCCG